This 253-nucleotide ribosomal RNA is filed under the name uncultured bacterium. RNAcentral describes it as "partial 16S ribosomal RNA". It matches the Rfam family "Bacterial small subunit ribosomal RNA", at positions 524 to 776 of the family's 1533-position model. The record is from RNAcentral. RNAcentral also lists the same sequence under 1 other name.
UACAGAGGGUGCGAGCGUUGUCCGGAAUCACUGGGCGUAAAGGGCGCGUAGGUGGCGAUCCAAGUCCAUGGUGAAAGCUCGAUGCUCAACAUCGAGUCGGCCACGGAUACUGGGUUGCUUGAGCACUGUAGGGGCAGAUGGAAUUCCGGGUGUAGCGGUGGAAUGCGUAGAGAUCCGGAAGAACACCGGUGGCGAAGGCGGUCUGCUGGGCAGUUGCUGACACUGAGGCGCGACAGCGUGGGGAGCAAACAGG